This 826-nucleotide unclassified non-coding RNA is filed under the name uncultured soil eukaryote. RNAcentral's name for it is "sequence contains 5.8S rRNA gene, ITS2, 28S rRNA gene". The stretch from base 406 to 826 matches the Rfam family "Eukaryotic large subunit ribosomal RNA", at positions 1 to 418 of the family's 3401-position model. The record is from RNAcentral.
AACUUUUGACAACGGAUCUCUUGGCUCUCGCAACGAUGAAGAACGCAGCGAAAUGCGAUAAGUAAUGUGAAUUGCAGAAUUCAGUGAAUCAUCGAAUCUUUGAACGCACAUUGCGCUCCCUGGUAUUCCGGAGAGCAUGCCUGUUUGAGAAUCAGUAAAUUCUUCAACACCAAUGGUUGGGUGGCUUAAUUGCUGCCUGUCUGAGGCGUUGGAUGUGAGCCUUUUUGUGCCUAUGGCGCAAAUGGCUUAGAAAGCAAUGUUAAAGGACCUUGGGCGACAUGUCUUAGGCAAAACGCAUGAAUGAGGCAACUCACUAGUACGUUUGGCAUCUGACUUGACACCUUUGUGCCUGUGACUCAACUAUUAUCCAGGCAAGCUGGCGUCAGCGAGCUUGCUCUGAACACUUGGUCUCAAAUCAGGUAGGAAAACCCGCUGAACUUAAGCAUAUCAAUAAGCGGAGGAAAAGAAACUAACAAGGAUUCCCCUAGUAACGGCGAGUGAAGCGGGAACAGCUCAAAUUUGAAAUCUCAUGGGGUAACCCGUGCGAAUUGUAGUUUAUAGAAACGUUUUCGGGGGUGGCUCUGGCAUAAGUCCCUUGGAAUAAGGCAUCAUAGAGGGUGAGAAUCCCGUAUUUGGUGAGAUGCCCGCUCCUAUGUGAUACGUUUUCUAAGAGUCGGUUUGUUUGGGAAUGCAGACCAAAAUGGGUGGUAAAUACCAUCUAAAGCUAAAUAUUGGCGAGAGACCGAUAGCGAACAAGUACCGUGAGGGAAAGAUGAAAAGAACUUUGAAAAGAGAGUUAAAAGUACGUGAAAUUGUCAAAAGGGAA